AAAGCCCAUGAGACGUUAUCGUGGUAUAACCCCAAAGUCUAUGAGAAGUUAUCAUGGUUUUAUUGCAUCCUCUUCAUUUGGCUAAUGAAGGAGAGCAAAAAGAAAUAACAACCUUUCCUCUUCUCUUGUCUCCUCCAAGUGGACUUGGAUGAUGGGUGCAGAUAUUCCAAGGAUAAGUCUGGUUCCUCCUGGAAAGUCCUGAAUGCCGAGUUACUUUUCGCCCAUUGCCCUUGAUACUGAGGCAGGUUCAUUCUGCUCAUCAUCUAGAAAGCCAAUCACUGAGACAACAAGUUUUGCAGUAUAGAAAAUAUUGAUUCACGGGGCAAUCCAGUAUGGAGAUGAGAGAACAGCUCUCAAAUCCACUUCUCCAAAGAUAGGGUUGAGGGAUAUAUAUGGGGUAAAGAAGUGGAUUGGUCUAAGACAUAGGGAAAGGUGAACAACAGUGGGAAAAAUGAGGUGGUCUGUGAUCUGCCAAACAGUCAGGGUUCAUGGCUCUUCAUAAGACACAUGUUCAGAAAAUGGUGGUGUUAGCAUGAUCUGAGGGAGGAGUUUUUGGCUUUAUGACAUCAAAAGGCCGCCACUUGGGCAUUUGCACAGGCCAAGUGGUCUCAGCUGGCUCAAGCCGGACAAGAGCUGACCCUAAGUUCCUGAGAAACAACUUAAGCAACCAUUACAUCAAUACAUCAGAGGUAUUAAUACAUUAAUCAAUACAGCAGAGGUAUUAUCUAUAAGGAAGCUUGUGAAGGCUAAGUUACAGCAUAUAGCAGCCUGCUUUUCAGCAAUGUAGGUUAAAAAAUCAACAAGAAGCAAGUAACUAAAAAGAUUAGACCUUGGUUUCACCAUCAGCUUUAAGGCUUUAGCUGAAGUUGCAGUGAAGACAGAAAAAUAUCUUUCCAUGGGCUGUUACACAGAUUCUUCCUCUUUAUGAAUGAAGAUUUACCCCAACUAGGACAGAAACAUAAGAAGAUGAAGUGACGGAGAUGUCUGCUUCAGUGGUGAUCUCCCCAUCUCUACUGGAUUUCUCUUUGGCUAAUGCCAAGGGGUCCUUAGCUCUGGCCCUCCACCCAGAGUGAUGUGUCUAAUCCCAACCUUGUGUACCUUGAUCCCUCUGCAGGACAUUGGGUGUCCAUUCCCCAAAGAAGCACCAACCAAUUUUCAAGGGGCUUUUACACCACUUGGAUGGGUCUUCAAGACUUUACUUCCAUAAGACACUAAAACAUUACAUUAUGAAAACUGGCUACAUAAAUACUAGAAAUUGAAAAUCCAUAACCAGCAACAUACAUUCGUUCAUUAAACAUAAAAUGUUUCUUUUAACUCCAAAAAACAUCAUCCGAAGCAUUCAACCUAAAGCAUACCAAAAGAUGGGAGACAGUGUUGAACUUUAUAAAUGGCAUCCACUCUCAGUUACCCCCAUGUGAUUUAUUGAGAGGAAAAUGUUCAUCUUCUCCCAGUUCAGUUUGUGCCUGGCUCACCUGCCCCUUGUGUUGGUGUGACAUUAAGGAAUAAAAUCUAACUCAAUAUCAUGCCUCAGAAGGAAGUAGAUGGUUGAUCUGCUCAAGGAAAAAGCCACAUAAAGCACCCUAAAGCCAAAUACUUGUCAUUUCCAGGAAUUUUUAGUAGAGAAAAGAUUUAUUCACAGUGCAGCCCAGCACAGAGAUGGGAGCAAAGCUCUGGAGGAAUCCUCUGACAUUAAAUUGUCUGUGACAUAGUGAAUUUGAUAGGAAAAACCAAAGCAGUCAUAUGCUUGAAUUCUUAUACACAUCAAACCUAUUGAAAGUUGAAGGGAUGGUUAUAUGUCAUAACCACAGCAUAAGGCAAGUUUAAGUUUGACCAUUUCUUUUUCACAGUUCCCAGCACUGACAAAAUAGGCAUACACAUGAAUUAUCAACUGGGGUUCAUGCUACACACUCUCACAAGAAAUGGGGACCAUGACAAGGAUAUGGUGAAUAGGAGGGCAAGUAGAGGAGCUGAGCCUCAGCCAAGGUACACCACAGGACACUUUUCAGUCUGGGCCAGCCCUCUGGUAUUAGUGCUCAAUACCAGGAAAGGAGGAGAAGAAACAGUUGAGAGGGCAGGAUACACAAGCUCUACCUAGCAUCACUCAGUGCCUUCAGAGAGAUCAGCUAGCUCCACCAGCCAUAUGAGUGGCAACAGGUUGCCUCAAGCCAUUUGCACUAUGGCUCUGCUCAUUGUCCUCACUUGGGUACCUGCCUGGCCUCAGAACUCACAGUUCCAAUCUGUCCCUGAACCCUGGCCUGGUCUCACUUUUCAGCCCACUCCCAUUCCCAGGUUUCACAUGUCAAUGUGUUCUUCACACUGUUCUAAAGCCUUUUAGAAAAGGCUUUAAAAGGCUCAAAUUCACUAGUGCCUACUUGGAGAGGUCUAGCCAAUUUCCCCUCACCAUCCUAUCCCCCUUUUUAUUGACUGGGACUGACCCCAUCUGGGAGUGUUUUCUCUGUCUCAUUCACAUCCUUUAAGAUGCUAUUCGUUUCCCAAUUAUUCUAAGCUAGGUGGAGCUGAUGUUCAAAAUAUUUAACAACUGGUAUAUGGUACAGGCACCGACCUAUCAGAACAGAUUCUAACCAUAAACAAUCAUCAGGGAAGGGGAGGCACACAUCUACUAAAUAUAUAGACCCCAAAGAGAGGACAAAGAAACUUAGGCUUGUGUUUGUGCCCAUGGCUUUUCUUCUGCUGUUUUUCAAGUGUCCCACAACUGUGUAAAAUUACAGCUAGCUUGACCAAGCACAUCAUUCAGAGAUGAAACUCUGUGUUUGUGGGAAGAAAAAGCAUUAUAUCUAUAUUUUUAGGUUUGGGGUUUUGUUUUGGGGUUUUUUUUUAUGUUUAGGUAAUAUAACUCCUAAAUAUGCAUCUUCACACGUAGAAAUGUCAAUUUUAAUAACAAAAGACAAACCCUGUCCACAUUGUCAUCAUAUCAUGAAGCUACUAGGAUCUCUCAAGAAAAUCCAUCCUCUGAAUUGGGGUUUUGUCUACAUUCAGGAGGUCAGGAAGAACUACACUAGCCAUCAUAAGUUGUCUUCUUUACCACUCUGAGGGAACUAUGCUAGCUGUCUUAUUCCUGUCCAAAUAAGAAAGUCUGAUUGCUAUCUGAGGAAGAAGCCCCCAUCAAAUAAAGAUUCUCAAAUAUAAAUUCUAUUUUAGUGGGCAAAGGCUGCUUAUCUGAGCAAUCACGAUUAAAGCAACAGCAUUUCCUGGAAAUAAAAGCGCAUGCAGAGGUGUUUGGGAGCCCAAAGCAUUAUUGACACCAGCCGGAAAUUAAUCUCUAGAGAAAGCUCUUCUUCAAGUGUCUCUGUUAAGGGCUAAACACACCCUAAAUGUAACUUCAGCAUAGCCAUGCUAACUGUUCCUCACACUCCCUGGGCUACCAGCCUGAGACAGGCAUCAGCCCAGCAGAGCUUGGCAUUAUAGGACAUCCAUGGAGGCAGGGCCUGACUCUAUUAGGUCAUCUGCCCAACUUCUCCAGACUCUGCAUAUUUAAAACACACAAAUUUCCUUUCCCUCCAAAAAAAAAAAUCCAUGAAUUUCUUGAAUAAUAUUUACUGGAGAAUAGGUAUAGCAAAAUAUGUAUAAAUCAGGCUACUAAUGUUAAUCGUAAAACUGAAAUUAUAAACUUCCCUGUUUUUGCCAUAGUGUUUUGCCACCUUUGAAGCUUUGAUCUGAAAUACACAUAUACACACAUAUAUUUAGUCAGAGUAUUUGAAUAACCCAAAAGACAAAAGACUGCCAGUGGACAGCAACGUCUCACUAGGGCUAUAGAGUACGAUGCCUCUAUCAGAGACCGAGGGCCUUGCUCAUUCAAUUCAGCAUUUUGUGGGCAUCUCUGGGGUACAAUUAAGCCAAUUUAGUCUGAAAGGAAAGCUGUUGGAUCAAUUAAAGGAUAAGAAUAAACUAACACAUAACAAGAGUAUUGGAAAUGGUUUUGAUUUUUUGGAAAACACGUAAGUGUAUAAUCUGAGGCUGGCAAGAAAACAGCCACACACGGCAAGAAAUAAGAAGGAAGCCAACCACCACUGGAACCUCAGACAUGAAGAGAAAUGCUAUUUCAUACCAGUUUUGUUUGAAUCGAUGGGCCAGAUUUUAUACAGACUCCAAGAACCUGAUACUGCUGUUAACAAGCUGCUUGUAUCCAUGGUUUUCUAAGAAAUGCUCUGGCCCUGAAUUUAAAUCUCACCCAAAAGAUAAUUAUUAUUCUUAGAACUAACUCCCUCUUCCUCAUAAGUGACUCAUGUGGGCCAGGUAUGCAAUAUUUUGCUCUGAAUAUUUACAUCUUCCUCUGGCAGAGGUUUGACUUUGGCCUUGGAGAAACGCCAUUGAUGAAGUUAUAACCGAGAGCACAAUUUGGAUCAGAGGUAGGUUUGGCCAAGCUGAGUUCCAGGGUCAAGUGUCUAGGAGAGGCAGGAAUAGAGAGAUAGAUUAAACAGUGGUCAGGAUGGGAGGGAACCAAGGAUUCAAAGGCCUAAUUCUCAUAGGGCAAAGCUCUGGAGCCAAGUAUCAGGCCAGAUUGCAAGAUGCACAGGGUACAAGUAGAAAUGGGCUGCUUGGAUGGGGUGGGUUGGGGGGACCCAAGGUAAAGAGGCAAACAAUUGUGGAUUGAAGAUAGCCCACCAGCUUCCACCAUCUCCUAGGAGGCGUUCUAAGUAAAGAGAGGCAAACAGCAAGGCAGCAAACCCUGGGAUCAGACUGGACAGACGGUUUGCCACUUGUCCAAGUUUGAUUGGGUAAACUCUGAAAAGUUUUCUUCCUUUUGCUACUGCUCAACUUUAUUAUCAACCUCUACAAAUACAUCAAGCAUCUAUCUCUACAUCACUGUUUUCAUACAGUUUGACUUUCACCAGAGAAGUUUCCUGCUUUCCAGAACACUGGUGUGAAUAACCUCUCAGUGCAUCCACAUUCCUAUGCCAGCUCUCCAUUUCGCCUUCCACACUCAGGCUCUCCAAACCCUAGUCUAGCUCCAAACCAAGCCAGGCCUGAAAGAAGGAAGUGGUUGAGUUACUUCAGUUCACCCUCCUGUCCCUUCUGACCCCAUCCCCCAUCUGGUAGGGCAUAGUGUUAAGCUGCCUGCCUGGAGACAGAUGGAGGAGUGGUGCCCAGGCCACAGCAUUGUGCCUGGAUCCAUGCUGGCUGCUAUUCCCUGAAUUUCCUUGAAUUUCCCUGACCUAGAUACAACCUCAUGAUAAGAGUUUGCUGAGCCUUCCAGGAAAACUGUGCCCACCUACAUAAACCUCAGCUGCAAGGAUCUGUGGCUGGACUCAAUGGUCCAUAGUCUACCCUACCACACAGGUGAUAUUGGUGAAGGAUCUACCCCUUCAGACACUCCCUACUGUGACCAUGUCUUACAAAGUAUAAAUCGCCUGAUCGUGCUACCAAAUUCUAAUGUGUAACCCAUCACCCUUUUAAGUCAUGGCGUAAACUAGUACCAUUUUUGUAGAAUGGCAUUGACAUGUGUCUCCUUAAAUAAUAUUCCAAUAGCAACUGACUCCUUUUUCAGAAACAACAAGUUCACAGGCUCUGGAAGAGAAGGGAGGAAGAGCAAAGAGGAGUAUUGUAUAAAUCAUUCAACUAACAAGUGCCAAAAAGCUUUUUACAUUCUUAAUCACUGAACAGAAACAUAUGCAUAGAACUUGCAUUUAACCAUGACUGUAGACAGGUUUGGGUGUAUUUUGGUGUAUUUGUCUCAGUGCCUCAUGAGAGCACACAGAUGAAUAAUCAGGGAACUUACUUUAGAAAAGCACAAUUUAUUUGGGAGAAAUCUGGAAGGGCACCAGCGUCAACGUAUGGGACCCCUCCUCCCAUGCUAAGCUUUCCAGAACAGUCCCGAUUUCAAAUAUUCAGUCCUGUUGUAUAACCAAUUGAUACUUCAACACUUUCUCAUCCAAACUGCAUCUCCUGACCAUCUCACACACAUAGGAGUCCAUGUAUCCUGAUUUAGAGAGUUGGAAAAAAAAUAGUGCCCAUGGAUACAUUUCAGUAGAGAUGUUUCUCCAACUUUGGGCUUUUCUAGCUAAAGCUGCACUCUCUGCAUAAGACUCUUCACUGCACAGAUAAGAAGAGAGCUUCUCAAGCUUUUCUGAGAACCCUCAGAGAGCCGGUAGAAAACACCAGUCCUCUGACAGGAGUUGGGAGAGCAUUAAAGCAGAAGGCUCUAGCGAGCACUCACACCAGCAGAAAGUGGGCAGAGGAUGUGUGCCCUGGCACGAGGCUUGUCCAGGGGGGCAGGAAACUGGAAGAUACUUUGAACACUGGUAAGCUGCAAUCAUUGACAACUCAAAUGAGACUGCCUUCUAGGGCCACUAAAAGCCUCCUUUUGACAAAUUGGAAUCAAAUUAUUUCAAGUGUGAAGUACUAAACUGUCCAAUAGGACGUAUCCACAGAGUUUCCAAGUUGGCUCUCCCAGACACACAGGAUACUAAGAGAACCAUGUAGAAGGGUGAGACUCCCUGGCUCUUCCUUUACUGACCACUCAGCAAGAUCCUUGACCUUGGCAUUAUCUGUAUUAUUGCAGUCUAUCUUCCCAAGUCACGAAUUUGCUACUUUUCUCAUUCUGGGUCUGGGUGUAACCUUUUGGAGGUGCUCCUCUCAGCUUUGUAGUCUUCUCUAACUCAUCCAGCAGCCACAGGGCCAGGUGAGAGGUGCUCCACUUUCCGUCUAUUUCUGUUGGAGUUCACUCUGCUGGUAAUGUGGCACCAGCCACUGCUACCUAGUUUGACAAGGAACUCUCCAAUAUGCAUUCACCAUACAGCUAGCAUAUCUCCAACCUUAGCAUCCAAUAGGUAUCACAGUUUUUGAGGAGCUAUUAAAGGCAUCUAUCUAUCCACUGUCCUCCACACAUGGUGCAGAAGACAGAUGGUACAUGUUCUGGGGAGGGAAGAGUAUCUUGCAAACAACAAACCAGGUCUGCCCACGAAUAGACUUUUUGCACAACUCGCUGGAUUUCUCCACCCAGAACAUCCCUUCUGACAUCAGCUCCAUCACUUCCUAAUAUUCCCAUUAACACUUCAACAACUGGCCAAUACCUUAGGAGAUUCCUAAACACCUCUGCUGUGCCAAAAAAAAGGUGAAAGUCAGUGGUCCUCAAAUCAGGACCCAUAGGUGGGCAUCAAUGGGUUGCUACACACACUGAAAUGGUAUGCAAUGUUUCUCAUUUUUUUCUGCAAAAAUAUUCUAUAGCUUUCAUCAGCUCUUAUAGGAAUCCAUGACCCAAGUGAUGUUAAGUUCUACUGCUUAUGAUAUAUUCCAGUCAUGUAGAAAUUAUCCUUUUUCUUUUUAUGGAAAAUAGGAGAUACACCAUUUUCCUGUGCCUAAACUGGGAAACCACUGCCAGAAGCCUUUUGAAGUAACCUAGGUCAUAACCGCAUAGCCUUCCAGUUCUGUCAAACUUUCUUCACAGGCACAGUCCUGUGACCAGCUGUCCAUGGGUGCUGCUGUGCCUGAUUCAAUUAGUUCCUGGCUCUCUGCCCACAUCUUCCGGUUACCCAGCUUGGGGUCCUAGAUUUCAUCACUAGGGAAGCAUCUGUCUCCAUGGGCACCAUGGCCAACUUUGGUACCUACUUCCACCAGGAAUGGCAUAGACCACGAAUUUCUGGGUGGUCUCUUUCCCAUCUCUAGCACACCCUUCCAUCAGGGGAUACAGGAGCAGCCUGUUGUGAUCGUUAAGUAGGUUACUUAAAGGUAAGAGAGGGGUCAGCCCUGUCCCUGAACAUUUAAAUACAGCAAAGUGCACCUGUGCAUUCCUCUUAAGAAUGCAUAUAGAAGACCACUGCAUGCAAGAACAAUACCGCAUUAGUGGAUUCACCCGGUGAUAGCCUCCUGCUUAGUCCUGCCAAGACCUAACUGACUAAUCAUUUUCCCCUUCUUUCUGUGGCUCUUGAUAUCAGGCAGGGACCCAUUUCAAUCACCUUAUCUGGCUCAACAACCCAUUCUGCUCUUGCCUUGCAUGUUUCCUAGGUUUAGGCCCUGGCAAAGCACACUCUCUCAAACAUUUUACCAUAUAGGAAAUUCCACAGCCCAAUCCUUCUAGACUCCCUCACUUCCCACCCUCUUUCCCCUCAAAUCUACCUAGGAAGGUUUUUGAAAGAGUUUUCGUAUUUAUAUGUUUUUCAGAUACUUAGACCAUUUAAGAGGAAAGGAGGGCAUUUCAAGCAUCAGUCCAGGCAGUAGAUUUGCCCUCAUUUUGCCAUUUCAAAUUUUUAAAAGCAAAGAAACUGAGUAUCACGCUGAAGUGAUUAUUUUUUUCUUUUUCCCUGAUGCAAGGUGGGGCUCUGGCUCUCGUGGGGUGGAUGUUCAAAUGCUUCCUUUUGAUGUUGAGUAAUGCAAUGUCCAGGGAAGGCCUCCCUGUCCCCUGCGUUCUCCAGACCACCUAGCAGGCCAGACCUCAUCCUGAAGUUGCUUCUUUCCCAUAUGGCUUUAGUGGCUCAGGAUGACUGGUGGGACACCUAUUGAGAGAUAAUUCCUAGCCAUGCGGCUUUGCCCCCACAUGACUGCCUGCUCCCUCUCACAGAGCAGAAAUCCCCUGUGGGCCUCUGGAGUGCUGUCCCGGGUCCUGGUCUGCACAUUCUCCUGAGGCACUUCGCAGCCCUUCCUGGGAAUCAUCCAAAAUGAGGUGAUUCCAGCCAGUUUAAGGUGAGAGCAGCCAGCAAUUCAAUCUACAUACUGUUUCUUUGGAAAUUAAACAUGUAUAUAAUUCAAUGAACUGAUCCUGAAUAAAUAGCAUAUUCUGAUAUACGCUACGGAGGCAGAGGUGGAAAAGAAAUCUCUGACUUAGCCCUGAGUUUUGAUUUUUAGCCAUUUGUUCUGCAAAUGGAAUUGAGUAUACCACAAAUUCUGUUCCCUCUCAGAGGCACCUUUCCUCACUUCCACCUCACAAAAGGAUAACUGGGGCUGCUCUUGAUUUUGGCUCUUCCUGGUCAGCGCAUGGGGUUAUCAUUGCUCCAGCAGAGGCUGUCAUGGUUUCUAAGAAGUUAACAUUUUGCUGAAUGAAACCAUGGCAGAAUUCCAUCUGGGUGGCAAAUUAAGCAGCCUGUGCAUCCUCAGGGUGGGGGUGGGAGGGUCUAAUUUCCAUUGGCAAUUUAUGAAAUAGCAGGAAAGAAAGAUUACUGGAAAGUAAGCCUUACAACAGAUGCAGAGUUGAUGGAGGCUGCAAAAAAGAAAAGGAAAACCACAACUCUCAAGCAGCCUUUUAUUCCUUAUUUUACUCACUUAGGAAAAGUUACUGUCACUGGCAUGCCCAGCACUGGGUCCCUGCUCACACAGUGAACAGGCUCCAUAGAGAAGACAUUUUGACGGUAACAUGUGAGAAAGGAGGCAGAGAGGAGGCAGGGGUGGGCUUGUGACAUAUGAGGCCCUGUGUAUGAGAAGAAUCUCUUGGGUAAAGGGUCACACUUAUAAAGCGAAGGCUACUGUAUUUGAAACACCAUUUCCCUUUUUGCUAAGAACUCACCGAAGGUCAUGUUGAACAGAAGUCUUGAAUGAUCAAUUCCAUGAAAUUUCCCAAGUUAUCUAUUUGAGUAGCACACUCACCACCAACACACAGCAAAGGUGGUAAAUCCAGGAGAAAACCUAACAAGAGCAAUUCAUAGUCUCCUGGAUCCUAGCAGAGCUGGGAGCUGGGUGCACACUCCUCUAACCUUUGUAUUCUUUUCAUUCUUUCAUGCCCAGUCUCAACAUUUGAAGAAGGAAAAGAAAUGUUAUUUAAAAUAAUGGGGGAUUACAGUUGCUUGUCUUCAAGGGGACAUGGCAUGAUCCAUCUCCCCAUAGGUGGUUUUUCUGUACAGCUACCAAUUUGGUGGAUCUUGAUGGAGCUUUUAGGAUGUGAGAAGUUAAAGCCACUGAGUUAGUCUAAAUGGGUGUUGAUGGCAGUGACUGCUGCUGAUACGGAAGGGAAGUGCUGGGAAGGGAAGAGUGUGGUCCCUUUAAAUGAUACAGAAGAGGGGAAAGGAAGUGCUGGCUAGAGGAGGGCAUGGUCCCUGGCUAGGGCUCCACCUCUGGGCCUGUGCCCAUGGACCUAGUUGAGGACAGGAAUUUUUGUUUUCCUGCCCAAAUGUUGCAUUUCCCAAGACCACCCUGGCCUACCAUGACCCCAUCCUGUGCCUAUAAAAACCCCCGAGACCCUAGCGGGGAGACACACAGGCAGCUGAAGUCAAGAGGAGCACAUCAGCGGAGGAACACACGGGCAGCUGGAUGUUGAAAGGAACACACUGACAGGCACCAGCAUCCCAGCAGGCCACCAACUGGCAGAAUGACGACAGAGUUUGCCUGGGGAAGUUGGAGGAGAGCUCUGGGGAAAACCAUCCCCGGAGAGACUCCAGGGGACAAUCCAUCUCCCUUCUGGCUCCUCCAUCUGCUCAGAGCUCUUCCUCCAGUGACACUUCUCAGUGAAACCCAAGUGAUUCUCCAAGCCCAUGUGUGAUCCAAUUCUUCCGGUACACAAAGGCAAGAACCCCAGGAUACAGAAAGCCCUCUGUCCAUGUGAUAAGGCAGGGGUCUAACUGAGCUGACUAACACAGCCACCUAUGGACCCUAACAGAGUCUACUGUAACACAUGCCCACUGGGGUUUCAGUUGUGAACACUCAAGCCCUAGACGUUGUCGUGGAGUCAGAGCCCCACAGCCUGCCCGUCUGCAUGCUCCCCUAGAGGCCGGAGCAGCAAGGCACUGAAGAAGCGAGUCAUACCCCAUCACAUGCCCUGCGAGGAGGACAAGGAAACUUCCCAUUACAACUGGGGAUCGUCUGGGAUCGCAGAAGAAUGUGCAACCAGUUCUCUUCACCAUCCCCAGCUUAUACUCCUCUAAAGUGUAUCCUGAACAAUUGGGACUGCUUUGAUCCUCAGAAUCUGGAGGAAAAUGGCCUCAUAGCCCUCUGCACAAAGACCCUAGCAGAUAGACACACAGGUGCUGGACAUCAGGAAGAGCACCACCAGUGAAGAAAGACAUGCACACGGGCAUCGGGACAUUGAGAGGAGCACACCGACAGGCACCAGCAUGCUGGCAGGCCACCAACCAGCAGAACAAUGUGGAGUUUGGCUGGGGCAGUUGGAGGAGAGCUAGGGCCACCAACUGGCCCAACUCCAGGGAAAAAUCAUCUCCCUUCUGGCUCCCCCAUCUGCUGAGAGCUACUUCCACUUAAUAAAACCUUGCACUCC
Pan troglodytes (chimpanzee) is the source of this 11155-nucleotide long non-coding RNA. RefSeq lists it as uncharacterized. The transcript has 3 exons. The record is from RefSeq and is a predicted model, not a curated record. NCBI's taxonomy places the organism in Eukaryota, Metazoa, Chordata, Mammalia, Primates, Hominidae.